This 499-nucleotide ribosomal RNA is filed under the name uncultured bacterium. RNAcentral's name for it is "partial 16S ribosomal RNA". It matches the Rfam family "Bacterial small subunit ribosomal RNA", at positions 28 to 507 of the family's 1533-position model. The record is from RNAcentral.
GACGAACGCUGGCGGCGUGCCUAAUACAUGCAAGUCGAGCGAAGUUUUUCUGGUGCUUGCACUAGAAAAACUUAGCGGCGAACGGGUGAGUAACACGUAAAGAACCUGCCUCAUAGACUGGGACAACUAUUGGAAACGAUAGCUAAUACCGGAUAACAGUAUUUCUCGCAUGAGAGAUAUUUAAAAGUUGGUUAUGCUAACACUAUGAGAUUGCUUUGCGGUGCAUUAGCUAGUUGGUGGGGUAAAGGCCCACCAAGGCGACGAUGCAUAGCCGACCUGAGAGGGUGAUCGGCCACACUGGAACUGAGACACGGCCCAGACUCCUACGGGAGGCAGCAGUGGGGAAUCUUCCGCAAUGGGCGAAAGCCUGACGGAGCAACGCCGCGUGAGUGAAGAAGGAUUUCGGUUCGUAAAGCUCUGUUGUUAGGGAAGAAUGGAUAUGUAGUAACUAUACAUGUUAGAGACGGUACCUAAACAGAAAGCCACGGCUAACUACGUG